GAGUUUGAUCCUGGCUCAGAUUGAACGCUGGCGGCAUGCCUUACACAUGCAAGUCGAACGGCAGCACGGGAGCUUGCUCCUGGUGGCGAGUGGCGAACGGGUGAGUAAUGCAUCGGAACGUAUCCUGGAGUGGGGGAUAACGUAGCGAAAGUUACGCUAAUACCGCAUAUUCUGUGAGCAGGAAAGCGGGGGACCUUCGGGCCUCGCGCUCUUGGAGCGGCCGAUGUCGGAUUAGCUAGUUGGUGAGGUAAAGGCUCACCAAGGCGACGAUCCGUAGCAGGUCUGAGAGGAUGAUCUGCCACACUGGAAC
This 310-nucleotide ribosomal RNA is filed under the name bacterium enrichment culture clone ALO1_GLFRUDD03FR4PQ. RNAcentral's name for it is "bacterial SSU rRNA". It matches the Rfam family "Bacterial small subunit ribosomal RNA", at positions 9 to 319 of the family's 1533-position model. The record is from RNAcentral.